GGGGCCGUGGCCCAAUUGGCAGAGGCACACGGUUUAGGUCCGUGCCAGUGUGGGUUCGAGUCCCACCGGCCCCACCG
Molecule: transfer RNA, 77 nt
Filed under: Actinoalloteichus sp. GBA129-24
Lineage: Bacteria; Bacillati; Actinomycetota; Actinomycetes; Pseudonocardiales; Pseudonocardiaceae
Also listed under: 1 other name
Description: tRNA-Leu
Rfam family: tRNA
About the family: Transfer RNA (tRNA) molecules are approximately 80 nucleotides in length. Their secondary structure includes four short double-helical elements and three loops (D, anti-codon, and T loops).
Source: RNAcentral